This 84-nucleotide transfer RNA is filed under the name Planctomycetota bacterium. Its description in RNAcentral is "Planctomycetes bacterium tRNA-Leu". It matches the Rfam family "tRNA". From Rfam's summary of the family: Transfer RNA (tRNA) molecules are approximately 80 nucleotides in length. Their secondary structure includes four short double-helical elements and three loops (D, anti-codon, and T loops). Further hydrogen bonds mediate the characteristic L-shaped molecular structure. tRNAs have two regions of fundamental functional importance: the anti-codon, which is responsible for specific mRNA codon recognition, and the 3' end, to which the tRNAs corresponding amino acid is attached (by aminoacyl-tRNA synthetases). tRNAs cope with the degeneracy of the genetic code in two manners: having more than one tRNA (with a specific anti-codon) for a particular amino acid; and 'wobble' base-pairing, i.e. permitting non-standard base-pairing at the 3rd anti-codon position. The record is from RNAcentral. Lineage: Bacteria; Pseudomonadati; Planctomycetota.
GCCGGAGUGGCGGAAUUGGUAGACGCGUGGGAUUCAAAAUCCCAUUCUUGCAAGGGAGUAACGGUUCAAGUCCGUUCUCCGGUA